GAUGAACGCUGGCGGCGUGCCUAAUACAUGCAAGUCGAGCGAACAGAUGAGGAGCUUGCUCCUCUGACGUUAGCGGCGGACGGGUGAGUAACACGUGGAUAACCUACCUAUAAGACUGGGAUAACUUCGGGAAACCGGAGCUAAUACCGGAUAAUAUAUUGAACCGCAUGGUUCAAUAGUGAAGGACGGUUUUGCUGUCACUUAUAGAUGGAUCCGCGCCGCAUUAGCUAGUUGGUAAGGUAACGGCUUACCAAGGCAACGAUGCGUAGCCGACCUGAGAGGGUGAUCGGCCACACUGGAACUGAGACACGGUCCAGACUCCUACGGGAGGCAGCAGUAGGGAAUCUUCCGCAAUGGGCGAAAGCUUGACGGAGCAACGCCGCGUGAGUGAUGAAGGUCUUCGGAUCGUAAAACUCUGUUAUUAGGGAAGAACAAAUGUGUAAGUAACUAUGCGCGUCUUGACGGUACCUAAUCAGAAAGCCACGGCUAACUACGUG
This 497-nucleotide ribosomal RNA is filed under the name uncultured bacterium. Its description in RNAcentral is "partial 16S ribosomal RNA". It matches the Rfam family "Bacterial small subunit ribosomal RNA", at positions 28 to 507 of the family's 1533-position model. The record is from RNAcentral.